AAGCUUAGGUUAAACCUUCUAAACCCAGAGCCUUCAAAGCACUAAAUAGGGUUUCACACCCUAGCUUCUG
RNAcentral lists this transfer RNA (70 nucleotides) under Pachydactylus atorquatus. Its description in RNAcentral is "tRNA-Trp". Lineage: Eukaryota; Metazoa; Chordata; Lepidosauria; Squamata; Gekkonidae. The record is from RNAcentral.